UACGUAGGGCGCAAGCGUUGUCCGGAAUUAUUGGGCGUAAAGAGCUCGUAGGUGGUGUGUCGCGUCUGCCGUGAAAGCCCGGGGCUUAACUCCGGGUCUGCGGUGGAUACGGGCAGACUAGAGGCAGGUAGGGGAGAACGGAAUUCCCGGUGUAGCGGUGAAAUGCGCAGAUAUCGGGGAGGAACACCGGGUGGCGAAGGCGGUUCGCUGGGC
This 213-nucleotide ribosomal RNA is filed under the name uncultured bacterium. RNAcentral describes it as "partial 16S ribosomal RNA". It matches the Rfam family "Bacterial small subunit ribosomal RNA", at positions 524 to 734 of the family's 1533-position model. The record is from RNAcentral.